This 422-nucleotide ribosomal RNA is filed under the name uncultured bacterium. RNAcentral describes it as "bacterial SSU rRNA". It matches the Rfam family "Bacterial small subunit ribosomal RNA", at positions 355 to 774 of the family's 1533-position model. The record is from RNAcentral.
UAAGGAAUAUUGGUCAAUGGACGCAAGUCUGAACCAGCCAUGCCGCGUGGAGGAUUAAGGCCCUCUGGGUUGUAAACUCCUUUUAUCUGGGAAGAAAUGUACUUUUUCUUGAGUACUUGACGGUACCAGAGGAAUAAGCACCGGCUAACUCCGUGCCAGCAGCCGCGGUAAUACGGAGGGUGCAAGCGUUAUCCGGAUUCACUGGGUUUAAAGGGUGCGUAGGUGGGCAGGUAAGUCAGUGGUGAAAUCUCCGGGCUUAACCCGGAAACUGCCGUUGAUACUAUUUGUCUUGAAUAUUGUGGAGGUAAGCGGAAUAUGUCAUGUAGCGGUGAAAUGCUUAGAUAUGACAUAGAACAUCAAUUGCGAAGGCAGCUUACUACACAAUCAUUGACGCUGAGGCACGAAAGCGUGGGGAUCAAACA